CUUGUUGGUGAGGUAAAAGCUCACCAAGGCGACGAUCCUUAGCUGGUCUGAGAGGAUGAUCAGCCACACUGGGACUGAGACACGGCCCAGACUCCUACGGGAGGCAGCAGUGGGGAAUAUUGGACAAUGGGCGAAAGCCUGAUCCAGCCAUUCCGCGUGCAGGAUGAAGGCCCUCGGGUUGUAAACUGCUUUUGUACGGAACGAAAAGGCUUUCUCUAAUACAGGAAGCUGAUGACGGUACCGUAAGAAUAAGCACCGGCUAACUACGUGCCAGCAGCCGCGGUAAUACGUAGGGUGCAAGCGUUAAUCGGAAUUACUGGGCGUAAAGCGUGCGCAGGCGGUGAUGUAAGACAGGUGUGAAAUCCCCGGGCUUAACCUGGGAACUGCAUUUGUGACUGCAUCGCUGGAGUGCGGCAGAGGGGGAUGGAAUUCCGCGUGUAGCAGUGAAAUGCGUAGAUAUGCGGAGGAAC
RNAcentral lists this ribosomal RNA (470 nucleotides) under uncultured bacterium. Its description in RNAcentral is "bacterial SSU rRNA". It matches the Rfam family "Bacterial small subunit ribosomal RNA", at positions 245 to 707 of the family's 1533-position model. The record is from RNAcentral.